Molecule: long non-coding RNA, 298 nt
Filed under: Fukomys damarensis (Damara mole-rat)
Lineage: Eukaryota; Metazoa; Chordata; Mammalia; Rodentia; Bathyergidae
Description: lncRNA (ENSFDAG00000024401.1)
Source: RNAcentral
AUGGCCACAGCUGGAGGGUGCAGGGGAGAUACAAAUUAUUAUUGUUGUUAUUUAUUAUUUAUUGUUCUUGAUCACAACUUGGUUCCAACCUCGGAGGGAAUUAUUCAAACAUGCAGGGCCCGUCCUUCAGCAAACACCAGGACAACUGUGACUUCCUCGGCUUGGGAGGUGCACUGGUUGCUGGGUGUGGAUUUGGUGGAGGACAAUGGGCCAAGGACAGAGAUGUCCAGGGUAUGGUGAACCCCUGUUGACCGAUGGGACACUGUAACGUGAGGAGCAGCCCUGCCUAGGACACCCC